This 253-nucleotide ribosomal RNA is filed under the name uncultured bacterium. RNAcentral describes it as "partial 16S ribosomal RNA". It matches the Rfam family "Archaeal small subunit ribosomal RNA", at positions 474 to 727 of the family's 1478-position model. The record is from RNAcentral.
UACCAGCACCCCGAGUGGGCGGGACGAUUAUUGGGCCUAAAGCAUCCGUAGCCGGUUCUACAAGUCUUCCGUUAAAUCCACCUGCUUAACAGAUGGGCUGCAGAGGAUACUAUAGAGCUAGGAGGCGGGAGAGGCAAGCGGUACUCAGUGGGUAGGGGUAAAAUCCGUUGAUCCAUUGAAGACCACCAGUGGCGAAGGCGGCUUGCCAGAAUGCGCUCGACGGUGAGGGAUGAAAGCUGGGGGAGCAAACCGG